AUGACAGGAUCCAACUCGAGUGUACAUGGACAUCAACAUGUGGAAGAUGAUCUCCCAAAAACUCGUGCAACACUUGGUGAUAUGAUUGAGGAGAGUAUAGUUGCAGCUAUGCGAAGGAUGUUCGGUGGUCGUCUUCCUAUCACGGGUAAUGGGGAUCAACAUCAACACAACCCCGCUACCUCGCCGGCUGCCGACAACCGGCAAUGUCAAUGA
Molecule: ribosomal RNA, 213 nt
Filed under: Triticum aestivum (bread wheat)
Lineage: Eukaryota; Viridiplantae; Streptophyta; Magnoliopsida; Poales; Poaceae
Description: partial small subunit ribosomal RNA
Source: RNAcentral